AUAGAACGCUGGCGGAAUGCUUUACACAUGCAAGUCGAGCGGCAGCGCGGGGGCAACCCUGGCGGCGAGCGGCGAACGGGUGAGUAACAUAUCGGAACGUACCCAGUCGUGGGGGAUAACUAUCCGAAAGGAUAGCUAAUACCGCAUACGUCCUGAGGGAGAAAGCGGGGGAUCGCAAGACCUCGCGCGAUUGGAGCGGCCGAUAUCGGAUUAGCUAGUUGGUGGGGUAAAGGCUCACCAAGGCGACGAUCCGUAGCGGGUCUGAGAGGACGACCCGCCACACUGGAACUGAGACACGGUCCAGACUCCUACGGGAGGCAGCAGUGGGGAAUUUUGGACAAUGGGGGCAACCCUGAUCCAGCCAUUCCGCGUGAGUGAAGAAGGCCUCGGUUGUAAGCUCUUUCUACGCAGGAACGAAACGGUAGGUCCCGUAACUACGGACUACUAAUGACGGUACCUCGAAGAAGAAGACACCGGCUAACUACGUAGCCAGCAG
Molecule: ribosomal RNA, 496 nt
Filed under: uncultured bacterium
Lineage: Bacteria
Description: bacterial SSU rRNA
Rfam family: Bacterial small subunit ribosomal RNA
Source: RNAcentral